CUGCUGUGGAACCAGGUGGGACAGAAACUUGGUCUCCACAGAGGUAACCAGCUGCAUGAAAGGUUAGCACUGGUUGAAAUUUAUUUCAGCAUAUAUAGAAAUGCAAGGAAACAGGAGAUAAGAAAGCAAGAAACCCAAAAUUCUUGCCAAGGAAUUAGGAAGUGAGAAGACUCUACCACCACUGUUCACAUGGCCAAAGGAGUUCUCAAGAGGAAUUUUGUUAGGUUCUGACUGCUUCCAUGCUAUGCUCACUUUCUGCUAGGCACUACAUAGCUCCUCCUAUCCCUGAUGCCUAGCUCAGGAAAUGAAAAGAAGUAG
Molecule: long non-coding RNA, 318 nt
Filed under: Cricetulus griseus (Chinese hamster)
Lineage: Eukaryota; Metazoa; Chordata; Mammalia; Rodentia; Cricetidae
Description: lncRNA (ENSCGRG00015036456.1)
Source: RNAcentral